Molecule: long non-coding RNA, 1350 nt
Organism: Nematostella vectensis (starlet sea anemone)
Lineage: Eukaryota; Metazoa; Cnidaria; Anthozoa; Actiniaria; Edwardsiidae
Exons: 3
Source: RefSeq, a predicted model, not a curated record
UAAAUAUUUGAUGUCAAAGUUGUCAUGCGUGGUCACAAGAGGAUGUUUAGCCCUUUCUAACACCACUUGUGUCAUCAUUUGGUUGAAGGCGGGAGUACGGUUCACACUGUCGAGUGGUAAAGUAAUCUAAAGGCUUUCUACUGUCCAUCGCGGUUAGAAAACAAUUCUUGUGGGAACGCCGAUUAAAUCAGCGAGUUCCUAUUACCGGGCCAUGUACUGGUGUAUUUUUCCCGAAAAUAACACAGGAUGCGGAGGCUGCAGAGGCUGCGGAGGAGGCAGCCGCCUACUUCCGUACGAGAGCUGCCAUCCUAGAUGAAUACCAACUAAAUCACCCAAUAGAAGCGAACGGCAUCGACUUGUGCCACUUUAACUCCAGGUCCAGGCUCACCUUUCUUUCAGUUAUAACCCUUCCCACUAUCUGCAAAGAGCUGGAGCUUCAAGUGCCCGGAGCAACCCGACGCAAAGCUUCUUUUGUAGCCACGCUCGUGGAUGUUAUUCAAAGAUGUAGUUGCGCAAAAUAAAUCCACGAUUUCUUGGGUCCCGAUUAUAUUUUUUCGGUAAUCCUGUGUUCUGUUGUGAAGACCAGAGUAAGUUUUUACACUUUAAUACUCUCUUUUACUAAAAAGGAGAACAGCUUACGGUGAGAGGCCUCAAUAUCGCAAAUGUCUCAGCGUUCUUGCAUAAUUUGUAUUUUUAUUUGAUCAAAUUUGUAGUUGAACAAAGGCUUUGAAAAUAUGCGAAUUUUGACAAUUUGAUCAAGCUUUUUGUUUAAUUACAAUUUAAAACUGUACAAAAUUCUGCCAGUAUCGCUUGUUAAUUAAAUAAAAACAUGCAAAACUCUCAUUUUCUUCUUUUGGACGUUUUUAUUUUUCAAUAAGUAAUUAUCAGAAAAGUCUUAUUGCAGUCAUGGUGAGGUAUUUUAUGCUUGUCGCUUUGUUUGUCACCUUUUAAUUACGUAUGCAUGGCAGCAAACAAAAUAGUAUCACGCGAGCCUAAAAACCGCAAUUUAAUGCAAUAAAUGCUAUGAAAUUAUUACCAUUAAAUUUUAGUAUUGCCGACAGUAUAUUUCUUUUGAUUUGAGCGCUCUUUCUUGUUUUUCUGGAGAUUUGAAGGCGUUGUUUGAAUGCGGAAAACCUGAUACAGUAGUCUGCAUUAGUUUAUAAUUAGGGUCAAGUGGGGGUCAUAUUUCGGCUUGUAAAAAAGUCGGAUUUUAUUUGCCCCUAAAUUUUAUUUCAUAUAUCAAACGUAGAAAUGAUGUUCUUUUCGAUGAAUGCAAUCAUUUUUGCCAAAUCCACAUCUCAUCGGCGAUAUUACACGAUCAUUUCAGGGCUUUUCAAAGUCAUCUAAAAA